RNAcentral lists this long non-coding RNA (1479 nucleotides) under Oryzias javanicus (javanese ricefish). RNAcentral's name for it is "lncRNA (ENSOJAG00000011813.1)". Lineage: Eukaryota; Metazoa; Chordata; Actinopteri; Beloniformes; Adrianichthyidae. The record is from RNAcentral.
AUGAAGAGAGGAAGUCAGAUCCUGGAGAAUAUCCUGAGCAGCAGCCCCAUCACAGACAAGAUGAAUACCGGACACUUUUGCUUCAGCUGUGAGCAGAUGUUUGGAAGCCGGAAAUUUCUGGAGGAGCAUGUCUGUUCCUCCGCAAGUUUUAUCUGCUCGUGUGGUACAGAGUUCAAGGAUUACAUUGCCAUGAAGCACCACAGCACAAUGCACGAACCGGGCCAUCAGGUGCUGGAUCACGAAACAAUAAAGAAGCGAAGAAUUGAGAAGGUGCUAGAAGAACAGGAGAAGAUUAAAAAACUACAGCAAGGUCAGAUUUUGAAGACAUAUUCGAGAAAAGGUCCACAUAUGUCGCUGCAGAAUAAGCCGGUCCUGCAAACACCGGGCGCCUCAGCUCUUAUGACACAGAGGCCCUUGCAGUUUUCACAAGUGCCUAAGGGGUGUCCCCCGGUGUCAUUGGUCUCAAACCCUUCCGCAAAAAACCUACAAAACAUGUUUGGGGACAGCGGUGCGCCGACCGUGGACCUAUGGACACUUUAUCAACCAGUUGUGUUGAUCAAAAGAACAGACAUUUUGAACAGGAAAAAGCCAUACACCUGUGGAAAAUGUGGGCAGAGCUUUUUAUCAAAAGCUUCUCUCGUCUCCCACCACAACUUGCAUGUCACAGAUAAAGUCUCUGGGUGUGUGGGGUGUGGGUUGCUGCUCUCCAGCAAGAAGUUGGUGCCGCGCUUCCACGCUUGUAACUCUACAAACAAUCAGACCAAAUUCCGACUCGUCACGGCAAAACCGCUAGAUUUCAAGUUGCCGAGUGGAGUUGCUGCACCACGGAAUGCAGUUCCACAGAAACCUCUGAUUAACCUGCAGUUGGAGAACAGAAGUCCAUUUGUGGCUGCUCAAGGUCGUCAAGCACCAAACAUCACCUCCAUCUCGGCUCUGAAGACCCAGAACAUCCAAACGUACAGGAAAGUAACUCAUGCCGCCUCACCGCUUCAGUCAAAAAAUCAAAACCCCACUGCAUCCAAACCCGCUGGCUUCUUGUUGCCAGCAAAGAGCCAAAGCUUCAAGCUAACCAGUAUAAACUCUGCUUCAGAUAUUUUCGGCGAUUCCGAAGACUCAUUGGUGAAUGACUCCCAGUGCAGAGUCUGUAAUAUUCUAUUUGAAACCCCUCAGCUGCUUCAAAGGCACAAGUGUGCCAAAGCCCAGGAGUUUAUGGCACGCCACAUGAAAGAUCGCAAAAUUCCACAAAAAACUUGCAGCGUAGCACCAGCGACGGACAAUUUUGCUCUCAUGAACGGGGAGAAAAAGCUAGGAUAUCAGACAAACCAACUCAGGGCUGUGAGUCUGGACAAGGGCGGAGCGCCGGGAAACGGAGAGUUGGAUGGAGAAGAUGAGGAUGACUGUUACAUUGUAGAGACCGGAUCAGCCAACCCCGCUGAGGUCAUUUACCAAGUAACAUCUUCUGUCCCCAUCAAGACUUGA